This is a long non-coding RNA of Engraulis encrasicolus (European anchovy), 999 nucleotides long. RefSeq lists it as uncharacterized. NCBI's taxonomy places the organism in Eukaryota, Metazoa, Chordata, Actinopteri, Clupeiformes, Engraulidae. The record is from RefSeq and is a predicted model, not a curated record. The transcript has 2 exons.
CCAGUGUAGGGAGGUGCUUCCUUUCUGUCCUGCUGCACUGAAGUGUGGUUGCCCCUGCUGAUUCCAGUGUUUGGUGGUGUUUAAGAUUUUUGUUCUCCGUGGGUGAGGAGCUGCAGAGAGUGACCAUUUGUAUAAGUGGCUGGAGUUUGAAGAUGAGUUGGGGAGGCUCCACCUCUCCUGGUGGAGGGCGGCGUUUGCACUCCGUACUUCCUGCUUGACCACGAGCGGAGCGAAGGACGUCCAGCUGGAUGAGAAACUUUUGUCCCUGUUACUUGGAGCGCUGAAAGGAGUCCUGGUGUGUGCCUUGUUCCAGGAGCAAACACCAUUCAACAACCUGUGCAAAGUGUCUUGAGCUAUAAGCUUAUGAUGGCCAUUGCAGACGGUGGUCAGUCAAGCCUUAUGUGUCCCGCCAGCGAGGGCACAGCUUUGAGCACCAGUCUAUGGAGGUUCAAAUAUAGGAUGACCAUUAGGAACAACUUGUCUGCACUAGCUAGGACAAUUACUGCACUGAGCGACUCUUCAAUACAGCAAUACAAGAAUCUCUUUUUACAUACCACGAGCAAUAGGUCUGUUUACUGAGAGCUGUGAGUGUCUGUGUGCAUACAGAGGUGGGGCGUGGCCAACCAUAGUGAGCAUUGAGUAACUUGUGAUCCCCCAUUUCCUUUCUUUUCAAUGGAUACUUGACCUUUUUUCUUGUGUGUUUGUGCGUGCGCUUUGGCUAAAUGUAUGUCAGUGCAUUGUCUGUGUAUUCUGGACAUCUUCAUUCCCCUCGGGAUUAAUAAAUGACAACGAACUCUACUCUAGGAACUUUGAUCAACUUCAGCCAUUUUCUCACACAGACUGGGACUAAGACACAGGCACUGCACAGGAACUGUAUCAAAGAGCAGUCACCAGGUUUCUUUCCGCCAGCACUAUUUUUUAAAAAUCAAAGAUGUUUGCGUUAACAUUUUUGUAAUGGUUCUAAUCUUCAUAUUGUUUGAAUUAAAUUAUUUUCAACCC